UGGAGCCUUGGCCCUUGUAAAUCAGGGCCUUCGACCCCAUAAUUCCACUCAUGGUCGUAAUCCCGGCAGUCGGGCGGCAUUCUGGACGCGGGUUCGAUUCCCGCCAGCUCCACCACUGAGGGGCUGUACUGGUUUCGACAGGGUGAAAGAAGAUGAGCAGGCGACCCGAGAGGCGACGGACGUAAUCCGCGCAAAACCACAAACGCCAACGAUGAGCGUUUCGCACUGGCCGCUUAAGGCCUGCUGAGGACAUAGCCGUCCGAUAAACAGAAUGGCUAUCGGCGGGGACUUCGGUCCCCGUCGUCA
Molecule: transfer-messenger RNA, 306 nt
Filed under: Rhodocyclaceae bacterium
Lineage: Bacteria; Pseudomonadati; Pseudomonadota; Betaproteobacteria; Rhodocyclales; Rhodocyclaceae
Rfam family: Betaproteobacteria transfer-messenger RNA
About the family: Bacterial tmRNA, also known as 10Sa RNA or SsrA, is named for its dual tRNA and mRNA-like properties. Its role is to liberate the mRNA from a stalled ribosome. To accomplish this part of the tmRNA is used as a reading frame that ends in a translation stop signal.
Source: RNAcentral